GUAGGUGGCAAGCGUUGUCCGGAAUUAUUGGGCGUAAAGCGCGCGCAGGCGGGCCCUUUAAGUCUGAUGUGAAAGCCCACGGGCUCAACCGUGGAGGGUCAUUGGAAACUGGGGGACUUGAGUACAGAAGAGGAAAGCGGAAUUCCAAGUGUAGCGGUGAAAUGCGUAGAGAUUUGGAGGAACACCAGUGGCGAAGGCGGCUUUCUGGUCUGUAACUGACGCUGAGGCGCGAAAGCGUGGGGAGCAAACAGGAUUAGAUACCCUGGUAGUCCACGCCGUAAACGAUGAGUGCUAAGUGUUAGGGGGUUUCCGCCCCUUAGUGCUGCAGCUAACGCAUUAAGCACUCCGCCUGGGGAGUACGGCCGCAAAGGCUG
This 374-nucleotide ribosomal RNA is filed under the name uncultured organism. RNAcentral's name for it is "partial 16S ribosomal RNA". It matches the Rfam family "Bacterial small subunit ribosomal RNA", at positions 527 to 896 of the family's 1533-position model. The record is from RNAcentral.